ACAGAGUGACAGGUGGUGCAUGGUUGUCGUCAGCUCGUGUCGUGAGAUGUUGGGUUAAGUCCCGCAACGAGCGCAACCCUUGAUCUUAGUUGCCAGCAUUCAGUUGGGCACUCUAAGGUGACUGCCGGUGACAAACCGGAGGAAGGUGGGGAUGACGUCAAAUCAUCAUGCCCCUUAUGACCUGGGCUACACACGUGCUACAAUGGAUGGUACAAAGGGCAGCGAAGCCGCGAGGUGGAGCCAAUCCCAUAAAACCAUUCUCAGUUCGGAUUGCAGGCUGCAACUCGCCUGCAUGAAGCCGGAAUCGCUAGUAAUCGCGGAUCAGCAUGCCGCGGUGAAUACGUUCCCGGGCCUUGUACACACCGCCCGUCACACCACGAGAGUUUGUAACACCCGAAGUCGGUGGGGUAACCGUAAGGAGCCAGCCGCCUAAGGUGGGACAGAUGAUUGGGGUGAAGUCGUAACAAGGUAGCCGUAUCGGAAGGUGCGGCUGGAACAC
Molecule: ribosomal RNA, 499 nt
Filed under: uncultured Caryophanales bacterium
Lineage: Bacteria; Bacillati; Bacillota; Bacilli; Caryophanales
Description: bacterial SSU rRNA
Rfam family: Bacterial small subunit ribosomal RNA
Source: RNAcentral